Molecule: ribosomal RNA, 1127 nt
Filed under: Vibrio cyclitrophicus 1F111
Lineage: Bacteria; Pseudomonadati; Pseudomonadota; Gammaproteobacteria; Vibrionales; Vibrionaceae
Description: bacterial LSU rRNA
Rfam family: Bacterial large subunit ribosomal RNA
Source: RNAcentral
UCAUAAUCAGUGAAAACGAGUAGGGCGGGACACGUGAUAUCCUGUCUGAAUAUGGGGGGACCAUCCUCCAAGGCUAAAUACUACUGACUGACCGAUAGUGAACCAGUACCGUGAGGGAAAGGCGAAAAGAACCCCUGUGAGGGGAGUGAAAUAGAACCUGAAACCGUGUACGUACAAGCAGUAGGAGCACCUUCGUGGUGUGACUGCGUACCUUUUGUAUAAUGGGUCAGCGACUUAAUUUUAGUAGCAAGGUUAACCGUUUAGGGGAGCCGUAGGGAAACCGAGUCUUAACUGGGCGUACAGUUGCUAGGAUUAGACCCGAAACCAGGUGAUCUAGCCAUGGGCAGGUUGAAGGUUGAGUAACAUCAACUGGAGGACCGAACCGACUAAUGUUGAAAAAUUAGCGGAUGACUUGUGGCUAGGGGUGAAAGGCCAAUCAAACCUGGAGAUAGCUGGUUCUCCCCGAAAGCUAUUUAGGUAGCGCCUCGGACGAAUACUACUGGGGGUAGAGCACUGUUAAGGCUAGGGGGUCAUCCCGACUUACCAACCCUUUGCAAACUCCGAAUACCAGUAAGUACUAUCCGGGAGACACACGGCGGGUGCUAACGUCCGUCGUGGAGAGGGAAACAACCCAGACCGCCAGCUAAGGUCCCAAAGUAUAGCUAAGUGGGAAACGAUGUGGGAAGGCUCAGACAGCCAGGAUGUUGGCUUAGAAGCAGCCAUCAUUUAAAGAAAGCGUAAUAGCUCACUGGUCGAGUCGGCCUGCGCGGAAGAUGUAACGGGGCUAAGCUAUACACCGAAGCUGCGGCUACGUACCUUAGGGUAUGUGGGGUAGGGGAGCGUUCUGUAAGCCGUUGAAGGUGGUCUGUAAGGGCUGCUGGAGGUAUCAGAAGUGCGAAUGCUGACAUGAGUAACGAUAAAGGGAGUGAAAAACUCCCUCGCCGGAAGACCAAGGGUUCCUGUCCAACGUUAAUCGGGGCAGGGUAAGUCGACUCCUAAGGCGAGGCCGAAAGGCGUAGUCGAUGGGAAACGGGUUAAUAUUCCCGUACUUCUUACAAUUGCGAUGGGGGGACGGAGAAGGCUAGGUGGGCCUGGCGACGGUUGUCCAGGUUCAAGUACGUAGGCGG